This 426-nucleotide ribosomal RNA is filed under the name uncultured Delftia sp. Its description in RNAcentral is "bacterial SSU rRNA". It matches the Rfam family "Bacterial small subunit ribosomal RNA", at positions 356 to 774 of the family's 1533-position model. Lineage: Bacteria; Pseudomonadati; Pseudomonadota; Betaproteobacteria; Burkholderiales; Comamonadaceae. The record is from RNAcentral.
GGGGAAUUUUGGACAAUGGGCGAAAGCCUGAUCCAGCAAUGCCGCGUGCAGGAUGAAGGCCUUCGGGUUGUAAACUGCUUUUGUACGGAACGAAAAAGCUUCUCCUAAUACGAGAGGCCCAUGACGGUACCGUAAGAAUAAGCACCGGCUAACUACGUGCCAGCAGCCGCGGUAAUACGUAGGGUGCGAGCGUUAAUCGGAAUUACUGGGCGUAAAGCGUGCGCAGGCGGUUAUGUAAGACAGAUGUGAAAUCCCCGGGCUCAACCUGGGAACUGCAUUUGUGACUGCAUGGCUAGAGUACGGUAGAGGGGGAUGGAAUUCCGCGUGUAGCAGUGAAAUGCGUAGAUAUGCGGAGGAACACCGAUGGCGAAGGCAGCCAUCUGGCCUAAUACUGACGCUGAGGUACGAAAGCAUGGGGAGCAAACA